Molecule: non-coding RNA, 76 nt
Organism: Macrostomum lignano
Lineage: Eukaryota; Metazoa; Platyhelminthes; Macrostomidae
Source: Rfam
GGGGUUGUAGCCUAGUGGCUAGAGCGUCGGACUCACGAUUUGAAGUUCGGGGCCGGGGGUUCAAUUCCCGAUCCCA